GCCGCUGUAGCUCAGCAGGUAGAGCACGUCAUUCGUAAUGACGGGGUAGCAGGUUCGAGUCCUGUCAGCGGCACCA
This 76-nucleotide transfer RNA is filed under the name Rhodobacterales bacterium 56_14_T64. Its description in RNAcentral is "tRNA-Thr". It matches the Rfam family "tRNA". From Rfam's summary of the family: Transfer RNA (tRNA) molecules are approximately 80 nucleotides in length. Their secondary structure includes four short double-helical elements and three loops (D, anti-codon, and T loops). Lineage: Bacteria; Pseudomonadati; Pseudomonadota; Alphaproteobacteria; Rhodobacterales. RNAcentral also lists the same sequence under 1 other name. The record is from RNAcentral.